Molecule: ribosomal RNA, 514 nt
Filed under: uncultured Glomus
Lineage: Eukaryota; Fungi; Glomeromycota; Glomeromycetes; Glomerales; Glomeraceae
Description: SSU rRNA
Rfam family: Eukaryotic small subunit ribosomal RNA
Source: RNAcentral
AGCGGCCGCGGUAAUUCCAGCUCCAAUAGCGUAUAUUAAAGUUGUUGCAGUUAAAAAGCUCGUAGUUGAAUUUCGGGAUCAAGGAAUCGGUCAUGCCUCGGUAUGUACUGGUUUUAUUGGUUCUCACCUUCUAAAGAACCAUGAUGUCAUUCAUUUGAUGUUAUGGGGAAUUAGGACUGUUACCUUAGAAAAAAUUAGAGUAGUUUAAAGCAGGCUUACGCUUGAAUACAUUAGCAUGGAAUAAUGAAAUAGGACAUCAGAUUCUAUUUUGUUGGUUUCUAGGAUCGAUGUAAUGAUUAAUAGGGAUAGUUGGGGGCAUUAGUAUUCAAUUGUCAGAGGUGAAAUUCUUGGAUUUAUUGAAGACUAACUACUGCGAAAGCAUUUGCCAAGGAUGUUUUCAUUAAUCAAGAACGAAAGUUAGGGGAUCGAAGACGAUCAGAUACCGUCGUAGUCUUAACCAUAAACUAUGCCGACUAGGGAUCGGAUGAUGUUAAUUUUUUAAUGUACUCAUUCC